This 28-nucleotide non-coding RNA is filed under the name Homo sapiens (human). The record is from RNAcentral. Lineage: Eukaryota; Metazoa; Chordata; Mammalia; Primates; Hominidae.
UCACAAUCGUAUGUCUGCUUUACCAGUC